RNAcentral lists this long non-coding RNA (303 nucleotides) under Monodelphis domestica (gray short-tailed opossum). RNAcentral's name for it is "lncRNA (ENSMODG00000035506.2)". Lineage: Eukaryota; Metazoa; Chordata; Mammalia; Didelphimorphia; Didelphidae. The record is from RNAcentral.
ACAGAUGGCUGAUGAAAGACUAAGAGAAGUAAUAAAAGCCAAAAAGCAAGGCAGAGCAACUAAAGGAACAGUGAAGGGACUUGUCCAAGGUUACCAGAAGCAAGAGUAUGUGAAGAAAAGACGGUCUUUGUGUUCCUGAGAGAAGUGUGGAAGAGGCAUGGAGGAAGAGAGAAUUUCAGGCUUGCGAAACAAAGCUGGGGACAUGAUCUGUCAGUCAAGGUGAAGAUUCCAAUAGAAUGUUCCCAGGAAAAGGUAGUUGGGGCCUGGCCAGAGGAGAUUGAACUGAGACUUCUCUGGGGGGUU